RNAcentral lists this ribosomal RNA (313 nucleotides) under Cutibacterium acnes. RNAcentral describes it as "bacterial SSU rRNA". It matches the Rfam family "Bacterial small subunit ribosomal RNA", at positions 30 to 341 of the family's 1533-position model. The record is from RNAcentral. Lineage: Bacteria; Bacillati; Actinomycetota; Actinomycetes; Propionibacteriales; Propionibacteriaceae.
CGAACGCUGGCGGCGUGCUUAACACAUGCAAGUCGAACGGAAAGGCCCUGCUUUUGUGGGGUGCUCGAGUGGCGAACGGGUGAGUAACACGUGAGUAACCUGCCCUUGACUUUGGGAUAACUUCAGGAAACUGGGGCUAAUACCGGAUAGGAGCUCCUGCUGCAUGGUGGGGGUUGGAAAGUUUCGGCGGUUGGGGAUGGACUCGCGGCUUAUCAGCUUGUUGGUGGGGUAGUGGCUUACCAAGGCUUUGACGGGUAGCCGGCCUGAGAGGGUGACCGGCCACAUUGGGACUGAGAUACGGCCCAGACUCCUA